GAAAUAUGUUGUUCAAGUGAAUGCUGCUAACUUAUCACUUAAGUGGUUAAAUUCCAUUUAUAUUUCU
RNAcentral lists this transfer RNA (67 nucleotides) under Paratemnopteryx couloniana. RNAcentral describes it as "tRNA-Ser". Lineage: Eukaryota; Metazoa; Arthropoda; Insecta; Blattodea; Blattellidae. The record is from RNAcentral.